This 820-nucleotide ribosomal RNA is filed under the name uncultured bacterium. Its description in RNAcentral is "bacterial SSU rRNA". It matches the Rfam family "Bacterial small subunit ribosomal RNA", at positions 60 to 846 of the family's 1533-position model. The record is from RNAcentral.
AGUCGAGCGAGCGGAACCAACAGAUUUACUUCGGUAAUGACGUCGUGAAAGCGAGCGGCGGAUGGGUGAGUAACACGUGGGGAACCUGCCCCUAAGUCUGGGAUACCAUUUGGAAACAGGUGCUAAUACCGGAUAAUAAAGCAGAUCGCAUGAUCAGCUUUUGAAAGGCGGCGUAAGCUGUCGCUAAGGGAUGGCCCCGCGGUGCAUUAGCUAGUUGGUAAGGUAACGGCUUACCAAGGCGACGAUGCAUAGCCGAGUUGAGAGACUGAUCGGCCACAUUGGGACUGAGACACGGCCCAAACUCCUACGGGAGGCAGCGGUAGGGAAUCUUCCACAAUGGACGCAAGUCUGAUGGAGCAACGCCGCGUGAGUGAAGAAGGUUUUCGGAUCGUAAAGCUCUGUUGUUGGUGAAGAAGGAUAGAGGUAGUAACUGGCCUUUAUUUGACGGUAAUCAACCAGAAAGUCACGGCUAACUACGUGCCAGCAGCCGCGGUAAUACGUAGGUGGCAAGCGUUGUCCGGAUUUAUUGGGCGUAAAGCGAGCGCAGGCGGAAAAAUAAGUCUAAUGUGAAAGCCCUCGGCUUAACCGAGGAACUGCAUCGGAAACUGUUUUUCUUGAGUGCAGAAGAGGAGAGUGGAACUCCAUGUGUAGCGGUGGAAUGCGUAGAUAUAUGGAAGAACACCAGUGGCGAAGGCGGCUCUCUGGUCUGCAACUGACGCUGAGGCUCGAAAGCAUGGGUAGCGAACAGGAUUAGAUACCCUGGUAGUCCAUGCCGUAAACGAUGAGUGCUAAGUGUUGGGAGGUUUCCGCCUCUCAGUGC